GACGAACCGUGCAAACGUUGUUCGGAAUCACUGGGCUUAAAGGGCGCGUAGGCGGACUGUCAAGUCAGGGGUGAAAUCUUUCGGCUCAACCGGAAAAUAGCCUUUGAUACUGACAGCCUAGAGGGAGGUAGGGGCAUGUGGAACUUCCGGUGGAGCGGUGAAAUGCGUUGAUAUCGGAAGGAACGCCGGUGGCGAAAGCGACGUGCUGGACCUCUUCUGACGCUGAGGCGCGAAAGCUAGGGGAGCAAACGG
RNAcentral lists this ribosomal RNA (252 nucleotides) under uncultured bacterium. Its description in RNAcentral is "partial 16S ribosomal RNA". It matches the Rfam family "Bacterial small subunit ribosomal RNA", at positions 524 to 775 of the family's 1533-position model. The record is from RNAcentral.